GAUAGAGGCCUACCAUGGUUUUAACGGGUAACGGGGAAUUAGGGUUCGAUUCCGGAGAGGGAGCCUGAGAAACGGCUACCACAUCCAAGGAAGGCAGCAGGCGCGCAAAUUACCCAAUCCCGAUACGGGGAGGUAGUGACAAUAAAUAACAAUACAGGGCUCUUAUGGGUCUUGUAAUUGGAAUGAGUACAAUUUAAAUCCCUUAACGAGGAACAAUUGGAGGGCAAGUCUGGUGCCAGCAGCCGCGGUAAUUCCAGCUCCAAUAGCGUAUAUUAAAGUUGUUGCAGUUAAAAAGCUCGUAGUUGAAUUUCGGAGUUCUACCGUUGGUCGGGCAAUAGUCUGUACUGGCGUGUAGAAUUUCUACCUUCUGGGGAACCAUCAUGUUAUUUAUUUAGCGUGGUGGGAAACCAGGACCUUUACCUUGAAAAAAUUAGAGUGUUCAAAGCAGGCUUACGUCUGAAUACAUUAGCAUGGAAUAAUAAAAUAGGACGGUGGUCCUGUUUUGUUGGUUUCUGAAUCACCGUAAUGAUUAAUAGGGAUAGUUGGGGGCAUUAGUAUUCAAUUGUCAGAGGUGAAAUUCUUGGAUUUAUUGAAGACUAACUUCUGCGAAAGCAUUUGCCAAGGAUGUUUUCAUUAAUCAAGAACGAAAGUUAGGGGAUCGAAGACGAUCAGAUACCGUCGUAGUCUUAACCAUAAACUAUGCCGACUAGGGAUCGGACGAUGUUAAUUUUUCUUGACUCGUGCCCCCCCUUACGGGAAACCAG
This 764-nucleotide ribosomal RNA is filed under the name Gigaspora polymorpha. RNAcentral describes it as "SSU rRNA". It matches the Rfam family "Eukaryotic small subunit ribosomal RNA", at positions 332 to 1101 of the family's 1831-position model. The record is from RNAcentral. Lineage: Eukaryota; Fungi; Glomeromycota; Glomeromycetes; Diversisporales; Gigasporaceae.